Molecule: non-coding RNA, 29 nt
Filed under: Mus musculus (house mouse)
Lineage: Eukaryota; Metazoa; Chordata; Mammalia; Rodentia; Muridae
Source: RNAcentral
UCUUGUUUUCUACAGAACAACAGGGUUGA